Molecule: transfer RNA, 73 nt
Filed under: Hirsutella thompsonii
Lineage: Eukaryota; Fungi; Ascomycota; Sordariomycetes; Hypocreales; Ophiocordycipitaceae
Description: tRNA-Val
Rfam family: tRNA
About the family: Transfer RNA (tRNA) molecules are approximately 80 nucleotides in length. Their secondary structure includes four short double-helical elements and three loops (D, anti-codon, and T loops). Further hydrogen bonds mediate the characteristic L-shaped molecular structure. tRNAs have two regions of fundamental functional importance: the anti-codon, which is responsible for specific mRNA codon recognition, and the 3' end, to which the tRNAs corresponding amino acid is attached (by aminoacyl-tRNA synthetases). tRNAs cope with the degeneracy of the genetic code in two manners: having more than one tRNA (with a specific anti-codon) for a particular amino acid; and 'wobble' base-pairing, i.e. permitting non-standard base-pairing at the 3rd anti-codon position.
Source: RNAcentral
GGGCGAUUAGUUCAAUCGGUAGAACGUUUGUUUUACACGCAAAAUGUUAGAGGUUCGAGUCCUUUAUUGCUCA